Molecule: ribosomal RNA, 305 nt
Filed under: uncultured bacterium
Lineage: Bacteria
Description: bacterial SSU rRNA
Rfam family: Bacterial small subunit ribosomal RNA
Source: RNAcentral
ACCUACGGGAGGCAGCAGUGGGGGAUAUUGGACAAUGGGGGGAACCCUGAUCCAGCGACGCCGCGUGAGUGAAGAAGUAUUUCGGUAUGUAAAGCUCUGUCAGCAGGGAAGAAAGAAAUGACGGUACCUGACCAAGAAGCCCCGGCUAACUACGUGCCAGCAGCCGCGGUAAUACGUAGGGGGCAAGCGUUAUCCGGAAUUACUGGGUGUAAAGGGAGCGUAGACGGUUAAGUAAGUCUGGAGUGAAAGCCCGGGGCUCAACCCCGGGACUGCUUUGGAAACUGCCUGACUGGAGUGCUGGAGAG